Molecule: transfer RNA, 86 nt
Filed under: Choricystis parasitica
Lineage: Eukaryota; Viridiplantae; Chlorophyta; Trebouxiophyceae
Description: tRNA-Ile
Rfam family: tRNA
About the family: Transfer RNA (tRNA) molecules are approximately 80 nucleotides in length.
Source: RNAcentral
GCAUGUGUGGCUGAGUGGUUGAAAGCAGUCGACUCAUAAUCGACCUUCCCUUGUGGACACCGCCGGUUCGAAUCCGGCCGCAUGUA